This 807-nucleotide long non-coding RNA is filed under the name Brachypodium distachyon (stiff brome). Its description in RNAcentral is "long non-coding RNA (BDIS_LNC005888)". The record is from RNAcentral. Lineage: Eukaryota; Viridiplantae; Streptophyta; Magnoliopsida; Poales; Poaceae.
AUAUCUUUUCUUGUAUUUGGACGUGUACUGUAGAAUUCAAAUCUUUGCAUGGCCACCAAUACAUAUUGUAAGUUUGGUAUUAUAAACAAAUUAUAAGAGAAGUAUAGAGUGCUUAUAAGAGAAUUCCAUUCACAGAUAUCAACCAAAAUUAUGCUGAGGCCAUCAACACUUGGCCCCAAGCUUGGAAUUCAUGAAUAAUAUGGGUUUUCCACUUUUGGCGAGCUAAAGCACAAUAGCAAUUUACGGUGGAAUCAGUUCUUGAGCCGAACUAUACACUACGGGGUCGGGAGCAACAUCAGGAAACCGGCAACAAAUGGUUAGGCCUCCAGCUAUACAAAACUUGAUUGUGCAAGCACUUUACGAUUCACAGAACAACUCCAUAGCUAUACCAGCAGCUAAUUGUUCAAUCUUCAUGGUACCUGCAGAGAUUACAAAAGGAACAUUUCAGGCAUCUAGAUUCAAGAUUAACAUAAGCCCCUUCGCCAUGGCAUCAGAUGCUAUAUGUGAUUGGCAUAUGGUGAAAAUGUCAACAAGGUUAUGUGAUCUAAAGAAAAAUUUACCUGCCACCACACAGUCUCGACAAUCCGAGAAAAUAUCCAAGAUUCAAUCUUCUCUAAUGCAGCCAAAAGUGUACCAGUUUCCUGCCAAUCAUCUAGUAUCUGUAUUGCAGCAAGCUUGGUUUGCUUGCCAUUGCAGCUGUUGUUCUGGAGCAUUGGCAUGGAUUUCCCAUCAAACCAUUUUGCACUGUAAUUUCAGAAGAAGAAGAAUGUUGGAUAGACUCGAGCAUACCGGACGAGUUGGACAUGU